Molecule: ribosomal RNA, 441 nt
Filed under: uncultured bacterium
Lineage: Bacteria
Description: bacterial SSU rRNA
Rfam family: Bacterial small subunit ribosomal RNA
Source: RNAcentral
CCUACGGGUCGCAGCAGUGGGGAAUUUUCCGCAAUGGGCGAAAGCCUGACGGAGCAAUGCCGCGUGAGGUAGAAGGCCCACGGGUCGUGAACCUCUUUUCCCGGAGAAGAAGCAAUGACGGUAUCUGGGGAAUAAGCAUCAGCUAACUCUGAGCCAGCAGCCGCGGUAAUACAGAGGAUGCAAGCGUUAUCCGGAAUGAUUGAGCGUAAAGCGUCUGUAGGUGGCUUUUUAAGUCCACCGUCAAAUCCCAGGGCUCAACCCUGGACAGGCGGUGGAAACUACCAAGCUGGAGUACGGUAGGGGCAGAGGGAAUUUCCGGUGGAGCGGUGAAAUGCGUAGAGAUCGGGAAGAACACCAACGGCGAAAGCACUCUGCUGGGCCGACACUGACACUGAGAGACGAAAGCUAGGGGAGCGAAUGGGAUUAGAUACCCCUGUAGUC